This 372-nucleotide ribosomal RNA is filed under the name uncultured bacterium. RNAcentral describes it as "bacterial SSU rRNA". It matches the Rfam family "Bacterial small subunit ribosomal RNA", at positions 431 to 793 of the family's 1533-position model. The record is from RNAcentral.
CUCUGUUGUUUAAAGAAGAACACGUAUGAGAGUAACUGUUCAUACGUUGACGGUAUUUAACCAGAAAGUCACGGCUAACUACGUGCCAGCAGCCGCGGUAAUACGUAGGUGGCAAGCGUUAUCCGGAUUUAUUGGGCGUAAAGAGAGUGCAGGCGGUUUUCUAAGUCUGAUGUGAAAGACCUUCGGCUUAACCGGAGAAGUGCAUCGGAAACUGGAUAACUUGAGUGCAGAAGAGGGUAGUGGAACUCCAUGUGUAGCGGUGGAAUGCGUAGAUAUAUGGAAGAACACCAGUGGCGAAGGCGGCUACCUGGUCUGCAACUGACGCUGAGACUCGAAAGCAUGGGUAGCGAACAGGAUUAGAUACCCUGGUAG